Molecule: ribosomal RNA, 460 nt
Filed under: uncultured bacterium
Lineage: Bacteria
Description: partial 16S ribosomal RNA
Rfam family: Bacterial small subunit ribosomal RNA
Source: RNAcentral
CCUACGGGUGGCUGCAGUGAGGAAUAUUGGUCAAUGGACGAGAGUCUGAACCAGCCAAGUAGCGUGAAGGAUGACUGCCCUAUGGGUUGUAAACUUCUUUUAUAUGGGAAUAAAAUGUUCCACGUGUGGGAUUUUGUAUGUACCAUAUGAAUAAAGAUCGGCUAACUCCGUGCCAGCAGCCGCGGUAAUACGGAGGAUGCGAGCGUUAUGCGUAUUUAUUGGGUUUACAGGGAGCUUAUGUGGAUUGUUAAGUCAGUUGUGAAAGUUUGCGGUUCAACCGUAAAAUUGCAGUUGAAACUGGCAGUCUUGAGUACAGUAGAGGUGUGCGGAAUUCGUGGUGUAGCGGUGAAAUGCUUAGAUAUCACGAAGAACUCCGAUUGCGAAGGCAGUUCACUGGACUGCAACUGACACUGAGGCUCGAAAGUGUGGGUAUCAAACAGGAUUAGAUACCCUUGUAGUC